This 1261-nucleotide long non-coding RNA is filed under the name Marmota monax (woodchuck). Lineage: Eukaryota; Metazoa; Chordata; Mammalia; Rodentia; Sciuridae. The record is from RNAcentral.
GAAACACACAGAGCAUGCAGAGUUAUAGUAAGAAAUUCUAAAAGGAUUGGCAAGACUUUAAUUUCUGUUGGCUGUAAAGAGCAGCAGUGCUUCACUGGGUGAGCAUGCACACUGAAGGACCUACCAUACAUGAUGUUAUUAGCAUCUUAUAGUUUUUCUGGCAAGAUACACAGUUGUUCUUCGGUAUCUCUUCUACUAUGUGACCUGGGAAACAGUGAUGUUGUUUCUUUUUAAGAAAAGACUUUUCUAUAAAUGGUAAAAAUAACCUUCAAUAAGUCACUGACUUUCCAGGACUCCUAUCCCACAGCACCUGGAGACCAUGGGAUCCACAGGGUGCAAACACAAGGGGAUGGAGCCUCCUCAGCCAGGGUCCCUGUGACACUAUGUGCAGCUGUCCUUGCCUGGCCCUGGAGGAAACAGUCUGAGCAAGAUUCUGUGUUGCCUGCUGUGACAUGGGCAGUGGUGACAUCUAUCCUCCCUAAGUGCUCUGAAUGCACAAAAGAAAACUUAAGUGACAGCAGCGAGAGGCCACAGGGUCUUGUUCAUUUCCUAUAAUGAGGCUGUCUUAAUAGGUAAAAGUGUGAAAUUAACUUAUGCUUGAAAUAUAGAUCAGCCUCUCCAGGACUGAGGGGAUGGUGAGUGUAUUUGCAGGUGCACGUCGCCCUCUUGUGGGCAAGAAGUGGAACAUCCUAGGGCAGGAUUCAGUGAGAGGAACCUGAGGUGAGCCACCUCUGUGUCCACAGGGUCCUGUGCCCUCUGCUGUCCACACUGAUGCGCUGCAGCUCCAGGAAGACAGCUCGCCCACCUGUCCACCUCAUGACUCAAUCCCAGAGUAAAGCUCAGAAAGCAGCUGCUUCACCUGGGAGCCAGGGAAGAGGCCAGAGCAGCAAUGUCUGCUCAGGUCAUUCAGUGAGUUCAAGCAGAGCUGAGGCCAAACCAGGUGUCACCAGAUAAUCUCGUGCACAUCCUCCAGUCCAGUGUCCAGAAAAAUGGCAGGACAAAAUACAUCCAACAUAUAUCUUUUUAAAACGUAGCCGAUUUUUUAAAUAACUUUAUCUAUUUAUUUAUUUAUUAGUGGUGCUGAAGUUUGACCCUGAUACCUCACCAUUACUAGGCAAGCCCUGUAGCCCUGAGCCACAUCCCAAGCCCCCAACAUGGUUAUUUAUAAAUACUCUACAUUUAUGUCAUUAGAUCCUUUCAGAUGGGACAUUUCUUUUUUUCACCUAAGAUCAGUCUGAAGUGAAUAAAUACCUUCCUCUCC